GUCUAUGGCCAUGCCACCCUGAACAAGCCCUAUCCAGUCUGAUCUCAGAAGCUAAGCAGGAUCGGUUCUGGUUAGUACUUGGAUGGGAGACCACUUAGGAAGACCAGGUGCCGUAGGCG
Molecule: ribosomal RNA, 119 nt
Filed under: Pteropus alecto (black flying fox)
Lineage: Eukaryota; Metazoa; Chordata; Mammalia; Chiroptera; Pteropodidae
Source: RNAcentral